UUCCUCUCGACCUCCUUAUAUGCUUCUUCGGGGCUAGGGUUUCCUCUUGCCUUCUGGGGUCUACCUUCCUCUCUCUCCCAGUCAUGCUCCAAUACCUCUGUUCUCCUUGUGAGGAAUAUUCCCCUCAUGCAAACGACGUGACAGAACGUGAUAGAGUCUUUGUACUCCCUACCUGGCAGGCGACGUGUGUCCUCGCCCUACUGAGCCGUAUGAUUUGGCUGUAUCAAAGAUCAUCGUACAUGCUUACACGGUAAUCGAUCAAAUCCACGGGAAAAAGAAAACUGAGAAUAACAGAUUAACAGGGGAAGUCGUCACGUACCUAUCGGAAAAUUAAAUUUGCAAACCUGGUGAUGAGAUCGAAGAGAGAAGAAAAGGGGAAAUGGUGAAGGAAGAGAAGCCAUCACUUACCUGUUUCAUUUUUAUUUGGAUUAGCUUUUUUUUUUCUACCCUGUCUCCGUGUGAUCUUAAUUUCUGUACGAUAUUGACGCAUCGGAUUUGAUUUCCGCUCUUUGCUGUCCGUUUUCUGCUGGUGUAUGAUUAGAUUGAUGGGUUUUGUUGGGUUUUCUUGUGGAUCUGGAAACUAUGGAUUUAUGUGUUUUUCCCACUUUUUCACUUCUCUUUUUUGGUUGUCAUAUUUUUUUUUGGUUUCCUUUCUCAUGAGGAGAUGGUUUGGUGAGAUUUAUUCGAUUCAAUCUUUGUUAGGAUGAGCCCUUUGGAAAUUUGUCAUGGGUGGGGUGUUUAGUUAUCUAUUUGGGUUUCUGCUACUCUUGUUCUUGGCGAGGUUUUAACUUGCGGCGCUGUUUCUGGAGAGUUAUACCGGCGUCUUGAUUCCUCAGCUACUCAUUUGAUGAAUUUCUCGAUGUCUUCAGCGGUCGGCGGUCAGCAUGACCUUCCGAAGGAGUUUGUUCUUCAGUUGUAGUAGACGAAGAUGGUUACUUAGGAUAGUCAGACAAACAUGAACCUUAGAAAGUAACAGGCAGAGACGCUACGGGAGAACCGCCUAGGAUGGCGUAAGAGACUCGAUCAUCUCUUUCUUCAAUGUGGGUACAUUUGUCUUCGGUGAAGAGUUCAGAGAGGAGAUGUUCCGACGGCGUUGAGUAGCCGGAUCCCUGUCCAUCCUUCAAAGUCUCAAGGGUUAGAGGGUUGAGUUAGUUCGGGUUUGAUCCAGGUAGAGGGGUUUGAUGGGUUAAAAUGGAUUUGUAUAAUCCAAAAGAUCCACAGCCGUUGAAUUGAUUUUUGUACACAUGUCUCUGGGAGGGAAUUGGACAAGAAUGGGAGAUGAAGAACUGGAGACGAGCCAAAUUUGUCUAUUCCACUCCCAUAAUGGAAAGAACUAAGAGUUUCUUAUUCAUAGUGGGUCUAUAACUACUUGGGUCCAAUGGAUCAA
Molecule: long non-coding RNA, 1387 nt
Organism: Macadamia integrifolia
Lineage: Eukaryota; Viridiplantae; Streptophyta; Magnoliopsida; Proteales; Proteaceae
Exons: 2
Source: RefSeq, a predicted model, not a curated record